CUAGCAUGCGAGUCGAAUGUAGCAAUACAUGGCGUACUGCUCAGUAACACGUGGACAACCUACCCUCCGGACGGGUAUAAACCCGGGAAACUGGGUAUAAUCCCCGAUAGAUCUCGGUCGCUGGAAUGCCCCGAGAUCGAAAGCUCCGGCGCCAGAGGAUGGGUCUGCGGCCUAUCAGGUAGUAGUGGGUGUAGCGUACCUACUAGCCUACGACGGGUACGGGUUGUGAGAGCAAGAGCCCGGAGAUGGAUUCUGAGACACGAAUCCAGGCCCUACGGGGUGCAGCAGGCGCGAAAACUUUACAAUGCCGGGAAACCGUGACAGGGGGAUCCCAAGUGCUCAUGCAUUGCAUGGGCUGUUCUUUGGUCUAAGUAACCAGAGGAGU
Molecule: ribosomal RNA, 385 nt
Filed under: uncultured methanogenic archaeon
Lineage: Archaea; Methanobacteriati; Methanobacteriota
Description: bacterial SSU rRNA
Rfam family: Archaeal small subunit ribosomal RNA
Source: RNAcentral